AUUUUUACCCGGCAGGAGAUACCAUGAUCACGAAGGUGGUUUUCCAGGGCAAGGCUCCGGAUAUGCUGACCCGCAUGAUUUCCCCAAAUGUAGGAAACUCAACUGCAUAAUUUUUGAAGGACUGCAUUGCACUCUCUUC
Small nuclear RNA from Pan paniscus (pygmy chimpanzee), 139 nucleotides. Its record names the gene U1. It matches the Rfam family "U1 spliceosomal RNA". Rfam says of the family: U1 is a small nuclear RNA (snRNA) component of the spliceosome (involved in pre-mRNA splicing). The record is from Ensembl. NCBI's taxonomy places the organism in Eukaryota, Metazoa, Chordata, Mammalia, Primates, Hominidae.